CUGCAGCUCAAGUGGUGACCACUAUUAUUGGGCCUAAAACGUUCGUAGCCGGUUUGGUAAAUGCCUGGGUAAAUCGUGUAGCUUAACUAUACGAAUUCCGGGUAGACUGCCAAACUUGAGACCGGGAGAAGCUAGAGGUACUCCUGGGGUAGAGGUGAAAUUCUGUAAUCCUGGGGGGACCACCAGUGGCGAAGGCGUCUAGCUAGAACGGGUCUGACGGUGAGGGACGAAGCCCUGGGGCGCAAACCGGAUUAGAUACCCGUGUAGUCC
RNAcentral lists this ribosomal RNA (270 nucleotides) under uncultured archaeon. RNAcentral's name for it is "partial 16S ribosomal RNA". It matches the Rfam family "Archaeal small subunit ribosomal RNA", at positions 477 to 747 of the family's 1478-position model. The record is from RNAcentral.